This 533-nucleotide unclassified non-coding RNA is filed under the name Hevea brasiliensis (rubber tree). Lineage: Eukaryota; Viridiplantae; Streptophyta; Magnoliopsida; Malpighiales; Euphorbiaceae. The record is from RNAcentral.
GCUCUGACAAUUAUCUUGGGAACGAUGGUCGUGAUGGUGACCGUGUUACUCAGGGCCUUGGUGCAGUUUGGAGUUUAAUCUUGGGUCGCCCCCCUAAUCGUCAAGCAUGCAUGGAUAUAGCUUUGAAGUGUGCUAUUCACCCCCAGGACGAGGUCCGAGCAAAAGCUAUUCGCCUGGUGUCAAACAAACUUUACGUGGUUGGUGACAUUUCAGAUAAUAUCGAGCAGUAUGCUAAGAAUAUGUUCUUGUCAGCUGUAAACCAGCAUGUCACAGAUGCAGAAUAUUCCCAGUCUGGAACUUUGGUUCAGAGGACAGGAGAGACAGGAAAUCAGGAAGCGUCAGUUAGUGGUUCUCAGAUUUCAGGGCCAGGAUUCUUUGAAAAUGAUUUUGUUAAGACUGCAGCAACUGAUUCUCAAAGUGAUUCAGAGUUGUCUUUAGCUCAAGCUCAGCGGCUUAUCUCAUUAUUUUUUGCUCUAUGCACUAAGAAAUUCAGUCUUCUCCACCUUGUAUUUGAUACUUAUGCACGUGCUCCU